This 340-nucleotide ribosomal RNA is filed under the name uncultured bacterium. RNAcentral's name for it is "bacterial SSU rRNA". It matches the Rfam family "Bacterial small subunit ribosomal RNA", at positions 1 to 334 of the family's 1533-position model. The record is from RNAcentral.
AGUAGACGUUCAGAGUUUGAUCCUGGCUCAGAACGAACGCUGGCGGCACGUUUUAAGCAUGCAAGUCGAACGGCAGUGGGGGCUUGCUCCCAUGAGAGUGGCGAACGGGUGAGUAACACGUAGGUGAUCUGCCUUUGGGUUGGGGAUAGCUUGUGGAAACACAGGGUAAUACCGAAUGAGCUGACGGGACUUUGGUCAAGUUAGUAAAGGUGCUACGGCACCGCCUAGAGAGGAGCCUGCGGCUGAUUAGCUAGUUGGUGGGGUAAAGGCCUACCAAGGCGACGAUCAGUAGCCGGCCUGAGAGGGUGUACGGCCACACUGGAACUGAGACACGGUCCAG